GCGGGCGUAGUUCAGCGGUAGAAUGUCUCCUUCCCAAGGAGAAGGUCACCGGUUCAAAUCCGGCCGCCCGCUCAA
Molecule: transfer RNA, 75 nt
Filed under: Candidatus Gottesmanbacteria bacterium RBG_13_45_10
Lineage: Bacteria; Candidatus Gottesmaniibacteriota
Description: tRNA-Gly
Rfam family: tRNA
About the family: Transfer RNA (tRNA) molecules are approximately 80 nucleotides in length. Their secondary structure includes four short double-helical elements and three loops (D, anti-codon, and T loops). Further hydrogen bonds mediate the characteristic L-shaped molecular structure. tRNAs have two regions of fundamental functional importance: the anti-codon, which is responsible for specific mRNA codon recognition, and the 3' end, to which the tRNAs corresponding amino acid is attached (by aminoacyl-tRNA synthetases). tRNAs cope with the degeneracy of the genetic code in two manners: having more than one tRNA (with a specific anti-codon) for a particular amino acid; and 'wobble' base-pairing, i.e. permitting non-standard base-pairing at the 3rd anti-codon position.
Source: RNAcentral